UGGGGAAUUUUGGACAAUGGGCGAAAGCCUGAUCCAGCAAUGCCGCGUGUGUGAAGAAGGCCUUCGGGUUGUAAAGCACUUUUUGUCCGGAAAGAAAUCCUUGGCUCUAAUACAGUCGGGGGAUGACGGUACCGGAAGAAUAAGCACCGGCUAACUACGUGCCAGCAGCCGCGGUAAUACGUAGGGUGCAAGCGUUAAUCGGAAUUACUGGGCGUAAAGCGUGCGCAGGCGGUUUGCUAAGACCGAUGUGAAAUCCCCGGGCUCAACCUGGGAACUGCAUUGGUGACUGGCAGGCUAGAGUAUGGCAGAGGGGGGUAGAAUUCCACGUGUAGCAGUGAAAUGCGUAGAGAUGUGGAGGAAUACCGAUGGCGAAGGCAGCCCCCUGGGCCAAUACUGACGCUCAUGCACGAAAGCGUGGGGGAGCAAACAGGAUUAGAUACCCUGGUAGUCCACGCCCUAAACGAUGUCAACUAGUUGUUGGGGAUUCAUUUCCUUAGUAACGUAGCUAACGCGUGAAGUUGACCGCCUGGGGAGUACGGUCGCAAGAUUAAAACUC
This 556-nucleotide ribosomal RNA is filed under the name uncultured bacterium. Its description in RNAcentral is "partial 16S ribosomal RNA". It matches the Rfam family "Bacterial small subunit ribosomal RNA", at positions 355 to 902 of the family's 1533-position model. The record is from RNAcentral.